Long non-coding RNA from Pogona vitticeps (central bearded dragon), 822 nucleotides. RefSeq lists it as uncharacterized. NCBI's taxonomy places the organism in Eukaryota, Metazoa, Chordata, Lepidosauria, Squamata, Agamidae. The record is from RefSeq and is a predicted model, not a curated record.
UGUUUGACACCAUUGUUUCCCCAACUGGCAUCUUUUUCUCUCUCCAGGGACUUUCCCUGGCUACUUCCAGCGUGGCUCUCGGAAGGGAAAACAUACGAUAGAAAGGAAACGAGACGCCAACCCAAAAGAAAAAAGCAGAUUGAGAGGGGCCCCCUCAGCCAUGGCUUGGAGCACCUGCCGAGGGUGUCUCCUGAAGCGACGACAUUUGUGGUGGGGUCUGUUGUGGCAGUUCAGGUUGCUGCUGCCGUUGCCCCUGCUUGGGCGGAAAGUCCACCACCGUGCCAGGUUGGAGGGUGGAUCGCCCGAAAAGACCCCUCAAGACUGGCACCAGGGACGCCACGAGGGCCCACAGGCUGAACUGUAACAAGAGAUACCCUAAUGAGUCCUGAAGGGCAUAACACAAAGAUCACUUUUUGCAAAGGCAUUGGAAACUCUAAAAGACCUUGAAGAAUACAACUACACCCCUGGAAGUGAUCUGCCACAAGCAGCUUCCCUAAUUUCUCUAAUUAGAUAUUAUGUAACUUCUCCCAUCCAAUCUAUAUUCUGUCACCUUAGCCAGCUCAGCAAGGACACCCAAAGAUCUGUCUGUUAAGACAAUGUGUUUGUUUAACAGUAACACCACAAGGCAUGGCUCCAAACUCAGCAUGACGAGUACCAUGGAAGGACUGCUGGAUGCCUAUUGCUAUUGUGCCAAACUUUCUUUCAACCAGCUGUAGGGUGUUGGAGUGGGUUGGGGUUGGGGUUGUGGAAUGGAAGUUGAUGUCCCUCAUCAGUGCCUGUCAUGUGAUUCCACCAUGAGUCAAUAAAUAGCAUUUUGUUCUA